CCUACGGGAGGCAGCAGUGGGGAAUAUUGCGCAAUGGGGGAAACCCUGACGCAGCAACGCCGCGUGAGUGAGGAAGGACUUCGGUCUGUAAAGCUCUGUUAAUGUGGAAAAAAUGGUAGUUGGUCUAAUAGGCCGAUUAUUUGAUGGUACACAUAGAGGAAGCACCGGCUAACUUCGUGCCAGCAGCCGCGGUAAUACGAAGGGUGCAAGCGUUGUUCGGAUUUAUUGGGCGUAAAGCGCGCGUAGGCGGACCUGUAAGUCAGAUGUGAAAUCUCGGGGCUCAACCUCGAAACUGCGUCUGAAACUGCAGGUCUAGAAUCUCGGAGGGGGAAGGGGAAUUUCGCAUGUAGGGGUAAAAUCCGUAGAUAUGCGAAGGAACACCAGAGGCGAAGGCGCCUUCCUGGACGAGUAUUGACGCUGAGGCGCGAAAGCGUGGGGAUCAAACAGGAUUAGAUACCCUGGUAGUCCACGCUGUAAACUAUGAACACUAGGUAUUGGAGGAUUUGACCCCUUCAGUGCCGUAGCUAACGCGUUAAGUGUUCCGCCUGGGAAGUACGGUCGCAAGCUAAAACUUCAAAUGAAUUGACGG
RNAcentral lists this ribosomal RNA (589 nucleotides) under uncultured bacterium. RNAcentral's name for it is "bacterial SSU rRNA". It matches the Rfam family "Bacterial small subunit ribosomal RNA", at positions 338 to 916 of the family's 1533-position model. The record is from RNAcentral.